Molecule: ribosomal RNA, 469 nt
Filed under: uncultured bacterium
Lineage: Bacteria
Description: bacterial SSU rRNA
Rfam family: Bacterial small subunit ribosomal RNA
Source: RNAcentral
GAUGAACGCUGGCGGCGUGCUUAACACAUGCAAGUCGAACGGACUUAUGUUGAAACCUAGUGAUAUAUAAGUUAGUGGCGGACGGGUGAGUAACGCGUGGAUAACCUGCCAUAUACAGGGGGAUAACACUUAGAAAUAGGUGCUAAUACCGCAUAAGCGCACAGCUUCGCAUGAAGCAGUGUGAAAAACUCCGGUGGUAUAUGAUGGAUCCGCGUCUGAUUAGCUGGUUGGCGGGGUAACGGCCCACCAAGGCGACGAUCAGUAGCCGGCCUGAGAGGGUGAACGGCCACAUUGGGACUGAGACACGGCCCAAACUCCUACGGGAGGCAGCAGUGGGGAAUAUUGCACAAUGGGGGGAAACCCUGAUGCAGCGACGCCGCGUGAGUGAAGAAGUAUUUCGGUACGUAAAGCUCUAUCAGCAGGGAAGAAAAUGACGGUACCUGACUAAGAAGCCCCGGCUAACUACGUG